This 4871-nucleotide long non-coding RNA is filed under the name Homo sapiens (human). RNAcentral describes it as "HSALNT0330487". Lineage: Eukaryota; Metazoa; Chordata; Mammalia; Primates; Hominidae. The record is from RNAcentral.
AGGCUUCAUUGACACAAAGCUAAGGGCAGGAACACGGAACCGUUUCCUGAACCUGCCCUGGGUUCCUGCCAAAGGUAAGCAGCCACGCUCAGCAGGGUCUCACGGACCACUGAGGAGGCAGUGAGCUUCACUAAAACAAUUAUCCCUCCCCAGGGCUCUGCCGAAGGUUUGCAGCUCCAAAUUCUCAUGGUAAAGGAUCCGUCCAGUCUCUGAAUUCCAGCUUAGAAUGGCUGACCUAGGCAGGACAAUUCCUCUGAGAGCGAGGGAGAAAAAACAAAAGUGUGGGAUUUAAAAGGCUGGUAUUGCAAAGGAUCAUCUUGACAGGCUGUGGCUCAGAUUUAGAGAAACCCCGAACUGAUUUGCAGAGGACUGAACACCAAACCUUGUAACCACAGAGCAGACUUCGGGGAGGUAGUCAUAGGACCUGACAAGCAAUCUUUUAAUACAGAAUCUGGUACAAAGAUCCAUGUGUGUAUUUUUGCUGUGGUUUUUUUUUUUUUUCUAUAUCUUUUGGAAUGGAGUCUAAUCGUCCAAAGGAUAGUUUUCACGUGUAGUGUUUUUCUCUUUGAUUUGAGAUAGGAGGUUUUCUGUGGCUGCUAAGCAAUACACAUAUACCUACGUGGCAUACAAUGUCUUUUUUUUUUGGUGGAAUUCUUAGCAUGCAUAUUUUUCUCAGCUAAAUGAUUUUUAACAGCAGUUAUUUAGUUCCUAUUGCACCUUUCCAAAAUUGCGUUCAUGGUAGAUACUUCUCAAAUAAGGUUUAGUUUUAUUAAAAUUCUUACGUCUUUCUGAAACAAAUAUACUAAAUCUUCCAGAAGAGCCCAUAAUAAUAAUAAUUUUUUUGCGUGUGUCUUAUGAGCCUGUGCGUAUGUGUGCACCACGCAGAUUUGUGUACACAUUUGUAUGUAAUACUGUUACAACUAUAAAUGGCAAAAGAACGUAUUUUAAGCCUCUUGGGGUUUCAACAAAUUGUGAUAAAAGGGUGGUGGUGGCCGAGAUGACUUUCUCCCACUCUAUUAAGAAAAAGUGCAAAAUGAAUGAGGGCAAACUGCUGGCUGCGAUUGUGAUUGUGCACAACUGCAAAGCGGGAUCGGCUGGGAUGGAGGCCACGGAGCAGGAACACCCCGUGUCUUGCCCCCCCUUCUGAAUGCCUCUCAGUAGUGGCAUUGUGGGGACUCAUGAAUUACUUCUUACAGUCGGGGCUCCUUGCUAUAAAUCCAGCCCUGGUGCCGAGCGCACUGUGGGCAGCGGAGCACCGAGCCGGGCCGGCGGUGUUUGUGUUGUUGUUAGCGACACGUAGCGAGUUCCUCCUAAGCGGAAAGGCCCCGGCUCCAGUUUGUCGCCAGCGAAAGCCGAAACACGAGUCGCACAUGUGGAGCGGGAGCCGUCAGCCGCCGGGCGGCGGGGUGGGGGGGUGGGGGGCUGCGGGAGCGGGGGGGAGGGGGAGGGAAUGCGGCCCGAGGCGGGGCCUAGCGCUCACCGGGGGAUUUGUUUGGGGGGCUGGGGAGGGGAGAGAGGGGACAGGGUGGGAGCAAAGAAAGUAGCCCAAGGGGAACCAGGAAAAGGAUGCCUUGACCUCUAAAUGUUGUGCCCUCCCCGUGACAUCUCACUACUUGUGAGAAUAUUUGAGAAUUAAAAUAAAAAAAAAAGGAACCCUUUGUGGUGCGGCUUCAAAAUGGUUUUCCUUCCCAGGAUAUCCUGUGCCUGUCUUUGGGUGAGUUUUUCAUAGGUUACUUGGUUAGGAGACUUCUCCUAUCCCUUUAAGAGGUAAAAACAUAAAAAACAAAUGUAAAUGUAGGGACUUUAACACUUCCCCCCUUCCUAACAUUCGUAUAAUUGCUGUUAAGCCACACUGAAAACCCUGGGGCCUGGUGUUCACCAGGGUAAAGUUACAUUUCACAAGCAGAAAAUUGACUCACCACUUAGGAAAAUUGGCUACCAAUUAUGUGUCAAAGGCUCUAAAGUCAGACCUGAGGUUUUCUUUUUGCCAGAAUGGGGAAUUAAAAAGAGCACAGGCACCCAGCUUUGUACCCACUACUCCCUCCGGGAGCAAUUCUUGCUUGCCGCUGGGUUUCUUCUGAGUUUGCUUCUAAGCCUUGGCGGGGAAGGAGGGCUCCUGGCUGAACCCAGCCAGACUGGCUAGCAGGAUGAACGGAGGCAGGAGUCAGUCAACCCUUAUAAGGGAGUUCAUGCACAAGUAUGUUACAAACAUGCUUAUGGCCUGUGUGCAGAAAGUAACUGGUGGCCUAGCACAGUUGACCAAAGUUCUGAGAGCUAUGACUGAGACUCAGGGGCCCAGGGGAGCUGGAGAAAGGAGGGGCUUCUGAAGGCCAAGUCACUAAAGUCAAGGGACAUCUGCUGUCUCUGGUGACAUGUUUAUCACACCCACACCACGUACAUUGUCCUGGAAAUUUAUUGUUGUCUCCUCUUGUAGGAGAAGCCACCUGGGCAGGAGGGGAGACAGUCCCUUGUGGGAGGACUGAUGGUCCUGGUGGGGAAGCAUGGAGGGGUAGAAGUCAAGAGAGAACAAGAGGAAGAGACAGACAGGGAUACAGAGUCAUAGAUACAGGGGCAGAGGAAGAGCAAUGCAGAGAGGGAGAGGGAGGAGAGGAGAGAGAGAGGGAGGAGAGGAGAGAGAGAGGGAGGAGAGGAGAGAGAGAGAAAAGAGAGAAGAGAGAGAGAGAGAGAGAGAGAGAGAGAAAGAGAAACGAACCUCUUGUUUACUUCUCUCCCCGCUGUCCCCUGGUUCUCCUGUAUCCACUUUCUUGACAUACUCCUUGCCUUCUUCCAAGGCCUGCUUUCUGUUCCUGUCAGAGUGGCUUAUCCUUGGUUUUGUUUUUAAUGCCGUGAAAUUAAACCUUAUUUAGUGCUUCAUUUUCUGCCUCUAGAGGGAGAGAAAGAGAAAGCGUUAGGACCCACCAAAUUGAAUGAAUUUGCUGUGCUGUGUCGGAGAGAGUUAGUUUUGUAGGACAACCGGGAUGUAAAAUCAUUCUGGAGAUUAUCACCAGAUAAGCACCCCUCCCAAGAACACGAUGUGAUAUGUAAUAAUUUUAGUGAGGAAAACCAUCCUUGUUUUGCCUUCUGGGAAAUCUUAUGCUAUUUCUAUUUGAUUCUAACGUUGGACAAUUUCCAGAGUUCUGAAGAACCAACUAUCUUAACUCCUCAAUGAUUUUGACAGGGAAGACAAAAAAGGGACAGCAAUUCUGGGGCUGGGGCUGGAUCUCAACCAAAAUAUCUAAUUUCAAUUUAGUCCUGGCUUCUUAGCUGGAACAAAGAGAAAGUUUUUACAUUUUGCAGAAUAUUUAGUUCGCCUCAAAGUCUAUUGGGUUAAAAUAUAUGUGUGUGAGCCAAAGUAAGCUUUUGAGAAUUCGAAGCUGAUCACGACAUUCUGUAGCCUUUAACUCAUCAGUGGCUCCUUAUUGUUCUUAGGAUAAAAGCCAACUUUCUUACUCAUCUGCUGUUCCCAUUGCUUCUGUCACGGACAUUCCUUCCUCUCUGAGAAGCUCAAUUCAUCCGUCAGAUUCUAGCCCCUUUCCCUUCAGUUCUCAGAGACACCUUCACUCCCCAGCUGGGUCAGUUCCCAGCAUAGGAUGCUCUAAGCCCCAUGCAGCCAGGAGCUGUGGUUGUUUGUUUACUAUUCUAUUCCUCCUGACACUCAGUACUCAAUAAUAAACACAGUGCCAGACACUCGGUACGCAGUAAUAUCUAUUGAAUGAGUUAUUGGAUGAAAAGCAAUGUAGCUUGUGGCUGUGGAGGGUACGGAUUCUGUCCAGUGUUGUGCUGUAGCUGGCUUAUGUGGACUCAUGAGAACCAACUGAGUGAAUCUUUUCCCAGCUCUGUUCAGUGAUAUCACAUUGGUAGCUUGAAGUCAUUCAUAGUGGGGAUAUUUACACCAUAGAAAUUGGCAAACACUACAGAGCCGGGCUCCCUCCACCCACUUUACUCAGAACACUGUUGAUCCUGCCAGUCAUGAAUCUUAUCCAAUCUUAGGUUUCUCAGAUUUACCCCUCCAUACUAUGUCUUUGUCACCAGUUUUCUGGAGGGCAGAGAUCACAUCUUAUUAGUCUCUGAAUCAUUAAUCUGUAGCAGAGUGUACAACUCAAUAAGCACCUGUUUAAAAAAAGAAAGACGCUCACUAGUAGCUUGAGUCUCCAGUCCUGGCAUGCUGUCUCUUCUACUUAAUGUGCUCUUUGAGAAAAGGAUUUUGAAAUGAUGCUUUGGCCUAUUUGAGGUCUCUUCCCUUCCACCACUCCACUUAGGCCCAUGGCUCUUACACAUUCCGCUUAUGUUACAGUAGAAUGUUUUAAUAAGUAGGAUUUUUGUCAUUGCACAAGUCGACACAAUUAUGGGAAUAGCUAAAAUUCACCAGUAGACCUAGUGGGUUCAAUUCAACAAGAUUAUUGAGAGCCUGUUUUGUGGGAGAUGCUAUUGCUCAUAUGCUAGUGAAACAGACAUUUUCUACCCUCGAGGGUCUGUGCACUGAGAGGCAUAGUCAUAUGCAAACCAAGAGUAACUGAUAAGAUGGUUAAAUGGUGGGACAGAGUGUCAGGGGCACCUGUAUCGGAAUUGAUUAAUUCUGUGUGGGGGUCAUGGAAAGCUAGAGAGAAGGGAUAUUUGAGUUAGACUUGGAGGAAUAUACGGAGAGCUGUAGGGAACAGUUCCCAGAGGCAAGGAGAUCAAUUUGGGAAGUUACUGGGAUAGUAAUGGCCCAGAGAUAAUGAAGUCUUGGUCAUUACUGGUGGCAGAGCUAGAAGGCAGUGGGCAGGGAACAAAGCUCAGAUAGGCUAUGGGGAGCUGAGGGAGAAGAGAAUCAAGGUGAACUGUCUGGAUCAUUUUUUCCUCCAGUCCUUUUUGUGGUGGGAAGAUGGGAG